AGAGAAAACAGGCAGGCUAUGCCGCAUAUUCACUGGAACGGAAAGUGCACGCGCUCCUCCUUCGAACUUUGAACUCUUCCACAGAACCAUCUUAGCCUAUUCUGUGCAAUACAAAUGUCAUAUACGUAGGCCUAUUGAUUAAUGUUGUAGUUAAUGAGUUCUAGAGAGGGUUUAGUACGUUUAAAUUAUCAGUUAUGGCGAAGUGGUCGGUUUUACUCUUCUACCUCCUCCAAGGACUGGUUCAUCUCAUUACCGGGCAGCAGCAGCCGCCACGCGAACGACUGGGGCCUUGGCGGCAGAGGAUUCAGUGGGAGAAUAACGGUAAGGUGUACAGUUUGAUGAGCACCGGGUCAGAGUAUCAACCACCGGCGCGGCCGAGAAGCCAAUCCAGAGUCUACAUGAGCACUGGGAGGGAUGGUACCGGUCAGACGCAGCCUGGAACGCGGGAAGGCACAAUGGCGCACAGAAGACCUGGACCAAUCGAAUCGAACGUAGGUGGACAUUUACGGGACCAAACCAACAACGUUCUAGAUCCUGGAUCAGCACAUUUAGGACAUGAUAGUAGACAGUAUCUGGUACCCAAUGCUCGCCAGUCAGGGUCCAGGUCGCAGCCCGAGGUGCCAUACCGAGCGGGAGUGGCGGGGUCCCCUGGCGCACGGCGCUACUCACCAGAGUACACUUACCGUGUAAACGCCUCCGUCCCUGGGCUGCUCCCCGAGUUCUCCGGUAGCGGCGUACCGAGGAGAGGAGCCCCUGUCACUCAGGAUGUUACCUGGGAUGCUCGCUCGGGGCUUCCCGCUUCUUCAUCCGGAGGCAGGGAGGUAGUGCCUGUACCGGGCGUAGAAUACCAAGAGAUGCGCGCGGAGCCCGGUGCAUCCAUCUCCAGGCAACCCGCACUAACGGAUAAUUCCAACGCACGUUAUGUCAUCCCUAACCGGAGGGGUACUCCUCCAGGACCCGGACCCGUUAACGCUGCUGAGACAUCGAAUGAGGCAGCAAGUAAUGGCGAGGACAUGGUCUCGGACGACCCUCGGAACCCGUUUAAAAACCACCGGAAUUCAGUCUUCUACAACAUGUAUUCCUCCAGAGGCAGAACGCCCGUAGCACGCACGCGGCGGCCGCGUCCCCCGGCGUCCGUCCCCGGCACUAGAUAUUUUCAGAAUGGGCUCCCAGAUCUCGUCCCAGACCCGUAUGCCAUCCAGGCAGGUGCAUACAUCCAGCGGAUGCAGAUGUACUCGCUUCGCUGUGCGGCUGAGGAGAACUGUUUGGCGAGGUCAGCAAGCACAGCAAGGGACAUAGACUACAGAGUACUGCUCCGCUUCCCCCAGAAAGUCAAGAACCAGGGCACCACUGACUUCCUUCCUGUUAAACCAAGACACCAGUGGGAAUGGCACAGCUGUCACCAACACUACCACAGUAUGGAUGCCUUCAGUAGCUAUGACCUGCUAGAUGUGACAACAGGAAGGAAGGUAGCUGAGGGACACAAGGCCAGCUUCUGUCUGGAGGACACAGGUUGUGAUGCUGGAUUAGACGCAGAUAUGCCUGCACCGCCCAUACACAGGGGCUGAGUCCAGGUUGUCAUGACACCUAUGCUGCCAAUAUUGACUGUCAGUGGAUCGACAUCACUGAUGUUCCUGCAGGAAACUACUUCCUGAGGGUCAUAGUGAAUCCCAGUUAUCAUGUUCAAGAGUCGGAUUAUUCCAACAACGUGGUGCGGUGUGAUAUCACAUACACGGGUACUCAGGUUCAGACACGGAAUUGUCGGGUAACCAGGGGUUAAAGCAUCCCAUGGAUUCUGAGGUAUUUGUCCUCUUGUCCCUUUAAGUACUGUAAACAGCAACAAUAUCAACCGGUUGUUGUGGCCAAUAGCUGUUGUAGAUCGAUUUUUUAUUUUAUUUUAAUUUUUUUUUACAUUCCUCUGUUGAUGACAUUCCUUCAAUUCUUUAGUGUGUAAUAUGUUUGGAAAUCUGUACUAAAGAAGGCAUUUUGUUACUAAAUACCGAGGAUUAUGAGAUGACAUGACAUUGUGUAUUUUUAUCGAUAUAACAAAUCCAUUGAAGAAGAGGGAUAUUUUUGUAUUGUUUAGCAUGAUCUUGGAGAAGAGAAUGGAAAAAGUGCCUGUGUUUGAAUUAGACAUUAUGCCUGGAUAAUAUUAUUUGUAUGCUUUGAUGUUUGAUCUGCACUUGUAGUAUCGUUAGAUGCAGUUGAGUACGUCUUUAAUAACCACUUCGUGGCCAUAAUUAAUAAGUUGCAAACGCCUGGUCUUGUAUGUGCUAAGUAUCAAUGUAGUAAUAGAUUUUCUUUUACUUUGUAAGUAUGUAUGCAUGUGUGAGCGAAUGUUAUUUUAUUUUAUUUUACAUUGUAAUGUAAAAUUGUUUAUAUGCCGCUCAAACCAACAUUUUACAAUUGGUGCUGUUUUUGUUGAGGGUGUUGUUCUAGAUACAAUACGCAUGAUGAAGAGUGGGUGUAUUAAAAAUAAAUUC
Molecule: RNA transcript, 2483 nt
Organism: Oncorhynchus kisutch (coho salmon)
Lineage: Eukaryota; Metazoa; Chordata; Actinopteri; Salmoniformes; Salmonidae
Gene name: protein-lysine 6-oxidase-like
Exons: 7
Source: RefSeq, a predicted model, not a curated record